CCUACGGGAGGCAGCAGUGGGGAAUUUUGGACAAUGGGCGCAAGCCUGAUCCAGCAAUGCCGCGUGCAGGAUGAAGGCCUUCGGGUUGUAAACUGCUUUUGUACGGAACGAAACGGCCCUUUCUAAUACAAGGGGCUAAUGACGGUACCGUAAGAAUAAGCACCGGCUAACUACGUGCCAGCAGCCGCGGUAAUACGUAGGGUGCGAGCGUUAAUCGGAAUUACUGGGCGUAAAGCGUGCGCAGGCGGUUAUAUAAGACAGAUGUGAAAUCCCCGGGCUCAACCUGGGACCUGCAUUUGUGACUGUAUAGCUAGAGUACGGUAGAGGGGGAUGGAAUUCCGCGUGUAGCAGUGAAAUGCGUAGAUAUGCGGAGGAACACCGAUGGCGAAGGCAAUCCCCUGGACCUGUACUGACGCUCAUGCACGAAAGCGUGGGGAGCAAACAGGAUUAGAUACCCUGGUAGUCCACGCCCUAAACGAUGUCAACUGGUUGUUGGGUCUUCACUGACUCAGUAACGAAAGNUAACGACGUGAGUAGUACGCCGCGGGAGGACGGCCGGCCGAGUAGUAACGUAACGAAAGAAAGUAGUAGGCGNGAGAGAGCGACGACGACGACGAGGGAGGAGGAG
RNAcentral lists this ribosomal RNA (628 nucleotides) under uncultured bacterium. RNAcentral's name for it is "bacterial SSU rRNA". The stretch from base 1 to 543 matches the Rfam family "Bacterial small subunit ribosomal RNA", at positions 338 to 873 of the family's 1533-position model. The record is from RNAcentral.